GACGAACGUUGGCGGCGUGCUUAACACAUGCAAGUCGAACGGAAAGGCCCUGCUUUUGUGGGGUGCUCGAGUGGCGAACGGGUGAGUAACACGUGAGUAACCUGCCCUUGACUUUGGGAUAACUUCAGGAAACUGGGGCUAAUACCGGAUAGGAGCUCCUGCUGCAUGGUGGGGGUUGGAAAGUUUCGGCGGUUGGGGAUGGACUCGCGGCUUAUCAGCUUGUUGGUGGGGUAGUGGCUUACCAAGGCUUUGACGGGUAGCCGGCCGGAGAGGGUGACCGGCCACAUUGGGACUGAGAUACGGCCCAGACUCCUACGGGAGGCAGCAGUGGGGAAUAUUGCACAAUGGGCGGAAGCCUGAUGCAGCAACGCCGCGUGCGGGAUGACGGCCUUCGGGUUGUAAACCGCUUUCGCCUGUGACGAAGCGUGAGUGACGGUAAUGGGUAAAGAAGCACCGGCUAACUACGUG
This 468-nucleotide ribosomal RNA is filed under the name uncultured bacterium. Its description in RNAcentral is "partial 16S ribosomal RNA". It matches the Rfam family "Bacterial small subunit ribosomal RNA", at positions 28 to 507 of the family's 1533-position model. The record is from RNAcentral.